AGAGAGAGAGAGAAGAGAGGAGAGAGAGAGAGAGGGAGAGAGAGAGGGGUUCGUUCCUGUAGGUAAUUCCUCUUCUUGGCUUUUCAUUCCUGUUCUUGAUUCUGUGAAUCGGAGGCUCCGGCAUUCUUGGGACGUGAAGAAAUCUUGUUUUUCAUUCGCGUCGAACACGCAGAUCGAAUUCCCGGGUUCUUGGAAUGGGUUGACCUGACGUUUCUCUCUGAAAAUGUCUGCGGCGGGCUCUCAGACGGAGCCCGCCGAAUGGCGGCUGCAGGAAUGGGCUUCUCCUCUGCGGCUGGCCCGCCAGCCCGAGGUCAGCGCCCCCCCGGGACCAUCCCCGGCGUUGACAGCCGGCGGCGGCGGGGGGAGAUGACUCUGGAGGAGUUCUUGGCCCGAGCUUGGGGCCCCCCGGCCAUGGAGACGGGUCCCGUCACCGCCCCCCAAGAACUGGAACAGACGGCGACGGAGGAGACGCCCGAGAAGAAGACGAGUCGACCCACCAGGCAGGCGGUAAGAACUCUUCCCUUCUCUCUCUCUCUCUCUCUCUCCUCUGCUGCCGGAAGAAGAAGAACAAGAUGGGGAACCCUAAUUAAUUUUUAUUCUUAUUUUUGCGGUUUCUCCGCCUCGAUUCGGUCCGAUUGGCCGUCUUUUCAAAGUUCUUGAUGAUCUGUUCUUUACAGAUUUUUUUUUCAAUUUUUUUAUUCCUCUUUUGCUAGUAAUGCAUUAUCUCUGUUGUUGUUGUCACAGGAGGAGGACGCAGGAGGGGUUGACUAUGCUCCCCGGCGCAAGCUUCGGCGAACCCGCUCCCUUUGACCUCUGCACAGUUGACUUCCCCGAUGUUCUCGUUGACUUCUGUGCACAACCUCUGUUCUUUCAGAGGGAUAACUUGGAGCACUCUGGUUUUGGUCGUCGGCGGCCAUGGUUUUCUUAUCUUUCAGCUGCUUUCGGGUGACAGCAAUUUUUAGCCUGAAUAUUAAUUUAUAAUUAAAUUAACAGUUCAUAUAAUUAUAUUCCAUUUUUAGUAUGAAGAUU
RNAcentral lists this long non-coding RNA (1029 nucleotides) under Spirodela polyrhiza (greater duckweed). Its description in RNAcentral is "long non-coding RNA (SPOL_LNC000838)". Lineage: Eukaryota; Viridiplantae; Streptophyta; Magnoliopsida; Alismatales; Araceae. The record is from RNAcentral.